CUGGGUUUACCUUUAGGGGUUUUAGAAAAAUAAAAAAAGGAACACAUGGCAGUAGAAGACCCACCCGGUGUUUAUUUUUACUGUAUAUUGCAUGACGUGAUUUUUUACGGUAAAUUAUCUUUUUUUUCUCGAAAUUUAUAUUUAAUGUAUAUUGUAUAUGUGAUUAUACAGUAAAAGAAAUUACCUUUUUUCUUGAAAUUUAUUGUAUUUUUCUGUAUAUUUCCGUUACUCAAUAUUUAUUUUAUUUUUACUGUAUUUCUUUUUAUAAAUAAUGUGAUUAUAUAUUUACUGUUGUGUACUCUUCUUUUGCAUUUUAUGAUGUUUAAUUGGUCAAGGAGUAAACUCUCUUAACCGUAAAUUAACCAUGGUAAUUACUAAUUAUAAUAAUUAAUUAAGAAGUAAAUCAUGUUAACUUGUCCACAUGUCACAUGGUGAAUGGAGUCCAUUUUUAUUGUUUUAACGGGGCGUCCGUUUGGAAUGUAUUCCCUU
RNAcentral lists this long non-coding RNA (489 nucleotides) under Erythranthe guttata (spotted monkey flower). RNAcentral's name for it is "long non-coding RNA (EGUT_LNC000364)". The record is from RNAcentral. Lineage: Eukaryota; Viridiplantae; Streptophyta; Magnoliopsida; Lamiales; Phrymaceae.